GUAUGGUGCGAACGUUGUUCGGAAUCACUGGGCAUAAAGAGCACGUAGGCGGUCCGGUAAGUCUGUGUGUGAAAUCCCUCGGCUUAACCGAGGAAUUGCACCGGAUACUGCCGGACUAGAGUGCAGGAGGGGAGAGUGGAAUUCCUGGUGGAGCGGUGAAAUGCGUAGAUAUCAGGAGGAACGCCGGUGGCGAAAGCGACUCUCUGGUCUGCAACUGACGCUGAGGUGCGAAAGCCAGGGGGGAGCGAACGGGAUUAGAUACCCCGGUAGUCCUGGCCCUAAACGAUGGGCACUAAGUAGAGGGGGUUCCGAUGCCUUCUCUGCUGCAGCAAAUGUGUUAAGUGCCCCCGCCUGGGAGUAUGGUCGCAAGGCUA
Molecule: ribosomal RNA, 374 nt
Filed under: uncultured organism
Description: partial 16S ribosomal RNA
Rfam family: Bacterial small subunit ribosomal RNA
Source: RNAcentral